AUCAUAUCUUAAACAGAAAUGGUCUCUGCUUGCAUUACAGGCAGUUUAUAAAGAAGCAGGAAAUGCAACAUUUUUUUCUACUUUCCUGGGUUUCAUCAUGUGGUAAAUGUGCAGAAACCUAUAAUGUGGACUGGUCUACUCACACCAUGGCUAAUUUAGAAUCGGCACCCAAGCAACCUGGUGCUUAGUCACUCUUGCACACUGUAAGUAUGAUGGUUUGUGCUUUAUUCCCUUCCUAUUUAUGUGCUUUUUUUCUUUCC
Molecule: long non-coding RNA, 260 nt
Filed under: Fukomys damarensis (Damara mole-rat)
Lineage: Eukaryota; Metazoa; Chordata; Mammalia; Rodentia; Bathyergidae
Description: lncRNA (ENSFDAG00000023335.1)
Source: RNAcentral